UCCCGUGGCCGUAGCGGAGGGGACACACCCGGCAACAUUCCGAACCCGGAAGUUAAGCCCUCCAGCGCCGAUGGUACUGCCGGGGCAACCCGGUGGGAGAGUAGGUCGCCGCGGGAA
Molecule: ribosomal RNA, 117 nt
Filed under: Actinomycetota bacterium
Lineage: Bacteria; Bacillati; Actinomycetota
Also listed under: 1 other name
Source: RNAcentral